RNAcentral lists this ribosomal RNA (817 nucleotides) under uncultured bacterium. RNAcentral's name for it is "bacterial SSU rRNA". It matches the Rfam family "Bacterial small subunit ribosomal RNA", at positions 59 to 871 of the family's 1533-position model. The record is from RNAcentral.
CAGUCGAACGAGAAUCUUUGAACAGAUCUUUUCGGAGUGACGUUCAAAGAGCAAUGUGGCGGACGGGCGAGUAACGCGUGAGUAACCUGCCCAUAAGAGGGGGAUAAUCCAUGGAAACGUGGACUAAUACCGCAUAUUGUAGUUAAGUUGCAUGACUUGAUUAUGAAAGAUUUAUCGCUUAUGGAUGGACUCGCGUCAGAUUAGAUAGUUGGUGAGGUAACGGCUCACCAAGUCAACGAUCUGUAGCCGAACUGAGAGGUUGAUCGGCCGCAUUGGGACUGAGACACGGCCCAGACUCCUACGGGAGGCAGCAGUGGGGAAUAUUGCGCAAUGGGGGCAACCCUGACGCAGCAACGCCGCGUGCAGGAAGAAGGUCUUCGGAUUGUAAACUGUUGUCGCAAGGGAAGAAGACAGUGACGGUACCUUGUGAGAAAGUCACGGCUAACUACGUGCCAGCAGCCGCGGUAAUACGUAGGUGACAAGCGUUGUCCGGAUUUACUGGGUGUAAAGGGCGCGUAGGCGGACUGUCAAGUCAGUCGUGAAAUACCGGGGCUUAACCCCGGGGCUGCGAUUGAAACUGACAGCCUUGAGUAUCGGAGAGGAAAGCGGAAUUCCUAGUGUAGCGGUGAAAUGCGUAGAUAUUAGGAGGAACACCAGUGGCGAAGGCGGCUUUCUGGACGACAACUGACGCUGAGGCGCGAAAGUGUGGGGAGCAAACAGGAUUAGAUACCCUGGUAGUCCACACCGUANACGAUGGAUACUAGGUGUAGGAGGNAUCGACCCCUUCUGUGCCGCAGUUAACACAAUAAGUAUCCCA